UAAAGGUUAGUUUAUAUAGUAAAACACUAGGUUGUCAGCUUAGAAAAGCGUUUGACUCGUGCCUUUAG
Molecule: transfer RNA, 68 nt
Filed under: Falcolipeurus suturalis
Lineage: Eukaryota; Metazoa; Arthropoda; Insecta; Psocodea; Philopteridae
Description: tRNA-Asp
Source: RNAcentral